This 380-nucleotide unclassified non-coding RNA is filed under the name uncultured Phaeococcomyces. RNAcentral's name for it is "sequence contains ITS2". The stretch from base 1 to 155 matches the Rfam family "5.8S ribosomal RNA". The record is from RNAcentral. Lineage: Eukaryota; Fungi; Ascomycota; Eurotiomycetes; Chaetothyriales; Herpotrichiellaceae.
AACUUUUAGCAACGGAUCUCUUGGUUCUGGUAUCGAUGAAGAACGCAGCGAAAUGCGAUAAGUAAUGCGAAUUGCAGAAUUUCCGUGAGUCAUCGAAUCUUUGAACGCACAUUGCGCCCACUGGUAUUCCGGUGGGCAUGCCUGUUCGAGCGUCAUUAUCCUCCCUCAAACCCCGGGUUUGGUGUUGGACUAAAGUUGUGUGAACAACUGGUCUCAAAGUCAAUGACGGCGUCCGUGGGACCCUCGGUGCAACGAGCUUUUAGGAGCACGCGUCAAGUAUCAAGGACCUUCCGGGCCGGUCUUCUUUACCAUUUUACAAGGUUGACCUCGGAUCAGGUAGGAAUACCCGCUGAAUUUAAGCAUAUCAAUAAGCGGAGGCU